GCUGCUUUGACUAUUUGAG
Molecule: non-coding RNA, 19 nt
Filed under: Sus scrofa (pig)
Lineage: Eukaryota; Metazoa; Chordata; Mammalia; Artiodactyla; Suidae
Also listed under: 1 other name
Source: RNAcentral